GGGAAAAUAUCUCAGUGGUAGAGCAUCGGUUUCUUAACUCAAAGGUCGUGGGUUCGAUCCCCGGUUUCCCCG
Molecule: transfer RNA, 72 nt
Filed under: Aphanomyces astaci
Lineage: Eukaryota; Oomycota; Saprolegniomycetes; Saprolegniales; Verrucalvaceae
Rfam family: tRNA
About the family: Transfer RNA (tRNA) molecules are approximately 80 nucleotides in length. Their secondary structure includes four short double-helical elements and three loops (D, anti-codon, and T loops).
Source: Rfam by way of RNAcentral